RNAcentral lists this unclassified non-coding RNA (334 nucleotides) under soil metagenome. RNAcentral's name for it is "partial contains 5.8S ribosomal RNA, internal transcribed spacer 2, and large subunit ribosomal RNA". The stretch from base 1 to 120 matches the Rfam family "5.8S ribosomal RNA", at positions 35 to 154 of the family's 154-position model. The record is from RNAcentral.
GAUGAAGAACGCAGCGAAAUGCGAUAAGUAAUGUGAAUUGCAGAAUUCAGUGAAUCAUCGAAUCUUUGAACGCACAUUGCGCCCCCCAGUAUUCUGGCGGGCAUGCCUGUUCGAGCGUCAUUUCAACCAUCAAGCCCUGCUUGUGUUGGGGUCCUGCGGCUGCCCGCAGGCCCUGAAAACCAGUGGCGGGCUCGCUAGUCGCACCGAGCGCAGUAGCACAUCUCGCUCAGGGCGUGCGGCGGGCUCCAGCCGUUAAAGCACCCACCUUUCGCAAGGUUGACCUCGGAUCAGGUAGGAAUACCCGCUGAACUUAAGCAUAUCAAUAAGCGGAGGA